UACGUAGGGUGCAAGCGUUGUCCGGAAUUAUUGGGCGUAAAGAGCUCGUAGGCGGUUUGUCGCGUCUGCUGUGAAAACUCGGGGCUUAACCCCGGGCCUGCAGUGGGUACGGGCAGACUAGAGUGCGGUAGGGGAGACUGGAAUUCCUGGUGUAGCGGUGAAAUGCGCAGAUAUCAGGAGGAACACCGGUGGCGAAGACGGGUCUCUGGGCCGUAACUGACGCUGAGGAGCGAAAGCGUGGGGAGCGAACAGG
This 253-nucleotide ribosomal RNA is filed under the name uncultured bacterium. RNAcentral describes it as "partial 16S ribosomal RNA". It matches the Rfam family "Bacterial small subunit ribosomal RNA", at positions 524 to 776 of the family's 1533-position model. The record is from RNAcentral.